Molecule: ribosomal RNA, 505 nt
Filed under: uncultured bacterium
Lineage: Bacteria
Description: bacterial SSU rRNA
Rfam family: Bacterial small subunit ribosomal RNA
Source: RNAcentral
AGAGUUUGAUCAUGGCUCAGGAUGAACGCUGGCGGCGUGCUUAACACAUGCAGGUCGAGCGCUGAAGCCCCAGCUUGCUGGGGUGGAUGAGUGGCGAACGGGUGAGUAACACGUGAGUAACCUUCCCUUGACUCUGGGAUAAGCCUGGGAAACCGGGUCUAAUACCGGAUGCGACCGUCCACCGCAUGGUGGGGGGUGGAAAGAUUUAUCGGUCUUGGAUGGACUCGCGGCCUAUCAGCUUGUUGGUGGGGUAAUGGCCCACCAAGGCGACGACGGGUAGCCGGCCUGAGAGGGUGACCGGCCACACUGGGACUGAGACACGGCCCAGACUCCUACGGGAGGCAGCAGUGGGGAAUAUUGCACAAUGGGCGCAAGCCUGAUGCAGCGACGCCGCGUGAGGGAUGACGGCCUUCGGGUUGUAAACCUCUUUCAGUAGGGAAGAAGCGAAAGUGACGGUACCUGCAGAAGAAGCGCCGGCUAACUACGUGCCAGCAGCCGCGGUAAU